CGGGGUUGAGCCCAGAUUGAUGGGAGAUCAUGGAUGAUCAGGACCACCUGUUUGAACACACACACACACACACACAAAACAGAACACACACACAAACCUAUACACAGAACAGGGGACGUAACAAGCUCUUUGAGCUGAACCACAGGACCUUGAUCCAGUGGAGUUUAACGUGAAGCUGCUUUGACGGAUUCUGGUCUGCACUCUGAUUUAUCGCUGGAUUGAAGAGCCUGACGACAUUCUGUGUUUGUCUCCCAGGUUCUCUCGAAAGCAGAGCGGGGUGGUCUCGGCUGUGCUGCAGCAGGGAGCUGCUGUCACUGCUGUCCCUGCCGAGCCUCUCGUUCCCGUCAAAGGGCUGUCCUUUGUUCAAGUGGGACAAGGACAGCCCUUCUAUUAUAAUGUGCCGGAUGAGAAGCCAGGGCCCUCGUCCAGCGGCCUUCCUCCACUGCUCCUUUGUGUCUUCCCUGGUCCUGCAGAUCCGCCUCCUCAACACCCAGAGUGUGCAGGACCACUGUCUGGAGGAAGAGGGGGGCGGCCGAGGCGGCGGCGGCUGCUGCUGCUGAACCUUCCGUGUGCCUCUUCGCUCGGUUGUCAUCCUCGCCUCUCCGUGGAUCCUCCACCCAUCUGCACCCUGCCGCUCCAGCCUGCAGUCAAUAAACUGUUGCCUUUUUUCACUACCUACCACAAACGCUAACACCCCCACAUCCUUGUAUGCAAUCAGACAGCGUUGCUUUUAUACAAUGUUUGCACUUUCUUCUUAAUUGCUGUAACAUGUUCACACAUUUUAAAAUAAAAAUGUUGGCAAUCAAUGUUUUUCAGUUUUGUACUACUUUUUAAUAUAUAUAUAUUUAAGUUUUGACUUAACACCAUAAAAGAGUGGACAUUAAAAUUCAGUUGUAUUUUACCCCACAUGGGAUUAAUAUUAACUCCCACAAGUGUUCAGGUUUAACUUCAGAAAACAGUUAAAUCAACUCUCGGAAAACUAACUUUUCCCUGGAGUACAUUCGAUGGUCUCACAUGUACACUCAAAUGUAGUUGAUUCAAACUCAGCAUUCCAGUGACCUCAUUAAGGGCAUUGGGAAUCGCCGUGUUAAGUUUGGCGAUCCAAAUCUCCGCUCGCCACCUUUGGGCUCCUGACCAGCCCAUUCUGGAAUCCAGGCCUGAAAUCCUAGUACAAUGAAAUGUUUCUAUACAAUAUCGAUGCUGUUUUUGUCUGGUUUUUAAUGUAGUCCUUUUAUGUCCUAUCUAUAUCAGAGCACAUUGUGUGCAUUGGAUUCCACACAGUAGUUUUGUGGAUUCCAGGUGGAAACGUUGGUGGACUGGGGCCCUGAGGUUCGUAAGUCUAUUGGUCAAGAAUUUAAUGGACCUAAAAUAUGGGCUCUUUUGAGAUGUCUUUCCACUCUAAAGUGCUGCAUGGACCAGGAGGUCUUGAAGGUUAGUAUUUCUUCCAUAAGCUGUAAUCAGAGGUCGUGUAGUUUUUGAAAAAUUUCAGUGUACUGUAGUCUUGCGUUGUAGCAACAUGGGAGAAAACGUGGAGACAAAAGGGACUAACUGAGCAUAAGGCUCCUGCGCCCCAUCAGGCAAGCGGGCGACACACGGAUCCCCACGCACCUCAUUCAGACCCGCCAUUAAGGGUCUGAAUGAAUUGUACAAAAUCUGUUUUCGAACGCAUCCAGAUUCCAAGAUAUCUCAGAUAAAGGCGAGGUGUUUUCUCACAUUGGGGCAGGAUAGUCUGCUCCCAAUCUGCCAUAUAAAUAUUGGCAUAUGAGGGGGCAAAUCUAAUUGAUACAAAUUAUGAUAUAUUGUUGUUUUCAGAAGUGAUGUUACGAGAUGUGCCGACACUUCGAAGCGUGUGUCGAGUAAUGGAGUGUGAGGUGUGCAGACAAGUGUGUGGAUCCAAUUCCACGACUCGGAGACACAAGAAGGUGCAGUUAACCAACUUUACUGUCGGAUGGCAGUACAAACACGGGUAUAAUGACCCAACAGGAGGCUGGCAGGUGCAGAGUUUGUAAAAAUUCUGGUCCAAGGUCGGUACACGGGCAGGCAGUCGAUCACUAGGCAAGGUAUCCGGCAGGGAAAAGGCAGAGACGUAACUCGUUAACCAGGCAGGGGUCGGUAACAGGAAGGCUAUCAG
Long non-coding RNA from Gasterosteus aculeatus aculeatus (three-spined stickleback), 2131 nucleotides. Lineage: Eukaryota; Metazoa; Chordata; Actinopteri; Perciformes; Gasterosteidae. The record is from Ensembl.